RNAcentral lists this ribosomal RNA (201 nucleotides) under uncultured bacterium. RNAcentral's name for it is "partial 16S ribosomal RNA". It matches the Rfam family "Bacterial small subunit ribosomal RNA", at positions 524 to 724 of the family's 1533-position model. The record is from RNAcentral.
UACGGAGGGUGUGAGCGUUAAUCGGAAUUACUGGGCGUAAAGCGUGCGCAGGCGGCUUUGCAAGACAGAUGUGAAAUCCCCGGGCUCAACCUGGGAACUGCAUUUGUGACUGCAAGGCUAGAGUACGGCAGAGGGGGAUGGAAUUCCGCGUGUAGCAGUGAAAUGCGUAGAUAUGUGGAGGAACACCAAUGGCGAAGGCAA